AGUGAACGCUGGCGGCGUGCUUAACACAUGCAAGUCGAACGGAUGAAAUAAGCUUGCUUAUUUCGUUAGUGGCGCACGGGUGAGUAGUGUAUAGCUAACCUGCCCUUUAGUGGGGGACAACAGUUGGAAACGACUGCUAAUACCCCAUACUCCUUCUUAUCAUAAGGUAAGUCGGGAAAGAUUUAUUGCUAAAGGAUGGGGCUUUAUUGUAUCAGCUUGUUGGUGGGGUAAUGGCCUACCAAGGCGAUGACGCAUACCUGGUCUGAGAGGAUGAUCAGGCACACUGGAACUGAGACACGGUCCAGACUCCUACGGGAGGCAGCAGUGGGGAAUAUUGCACAAUGGGGGAAACCCUGAUGCAGCAACGCCGCGUGGAGGAUGACGCAUUUCGGUGUGUAAACUCCUUUUAUAAGGGAAGAUAAUGACGGUACCUUAUGAAUAAGCACCGGCUAACUCCGUGCCAGCCGCCGCAGUAA
Molecule: ribosomal RNA, 476 nt
Filed under: uncultured bacterium
Lineage: Bacteria
Description: partial 16S ribosomal RNA
Rfam family: Bacterial small subunit ribosomal RNA
Source: RNAcentral